UCGGGAAUUUUGGGCAAUGGGGGAAAGCCUGAUCCAGCAAUGCCGCGUGAGUGAAGAAGGCCUUCGGGUUGUAAAGCUCUUUUGUCAGGGAAGAAACGGUGAGAGCUAAUAUCUCUUGCUAAUGACGGUACCUGAAGAAUAAGCACCGGCUAACUACGUGCCAGCAGCCGCGGUAAUACGUAGGGUGCAAGCGUUAAUCGGAAUUACUGGGCGUAAAGCGUGCGCAGGCGGUUUUGUAAGUCUGAUGUGAAAUCCCCGGGCUCAACCUGGGAAUUGCAUUGGAGACUGCCAGACUAGAGUGUAGCAGAGGGGGUAGAAUUCCACGUGUAGCAGUGAAAUGCGUAGAUAUGUGGAGGAAUACCGAUGGCGAAGGCAGCCCCCUGGGCUAACACUGACGCUCAUGCACGAAAGCGUGGGGAGCAAACAGGAUUAGAUACCCAAGUAGUCCCUGAGCGGGCUGGCAAGGCGCAU
This 471-nucleotide ribosomal RNA is filed under the name uncultured bacterium. Its description in RNAcentral is "bacterial SSU rRNA". It matches the Rfam family "Bacterial small subunit ribosomal RNA", at positions 355 to 825 of the family's 1533-position model. The record is from RNAcentral.